GACGAACGCUGGCGGCGUGCUUACACAUGCAAGUCGAACGGAAAGGCCCUGCUUUUGUGGGGUGCUCGAGUGGCGAACGGGUGAGUAACACGUGAGUAACCUGCCCUUGACUUUGGGAUAACUUCAGGAAACUGGGGCUAAUACCGGAUAGGAGCUCCUGCUGCUUGGUGGGGGUUGGAAAGUUUCGGCGGUUGGGGAUGGACUCGCGGCUUAUCAGCUUGUUGGUGGGGUAGUGGCUUACCAAGGCUUUGACGGGUAGCCGGCCUGAGAGGGUGACCGGCCACAUUGGGACUGAGAUACGGCCCAGACUCCUACGGGAGGCAGCAGUGGGGAAUAUUGCACAAUGGGCGGAAGCCUGAUGCAGCAACGCCGCGCGCGGGAUGACGGCCUUCGGGUUGUAAACCGCUUUCGCCUGUGACGAAGCGUGAGUGACGGUAAUGGGUAAAGAAGCACCGGCUAACUACGUGCCAGCAGCCGCGGUGAUACGUAGGGUGCGAGCGUUGUCCGGAUUUAUUGGGCGUAAAGGGCUCGUAGGUGGUUGAUCGCGUCGGAAGUGUAAUCUUGGGGCUUAACCCUGAGCGUGCUUUCGAUACGGGUUGACUUGAGGAAGGUAGGGGAGAAUGGAAUUCCUGGUGGAGCGGUGGAAUGCGCAGAUAUCAGGAGGAACACCAGUGGCGAAGGCGGUUCUCUGGGCCUUUCCUGACGCUGAGGAGCGAAAGCGUGGGGAGCGAACAGGCUUAGAUACCCUGGUAGUCCACGCUGUAAACGGUGGGUACUAGGUGUGGGGUCCAUUCCACGGGUUCCGUGCCGUAGCUAACGCUUUAAGUACCCCGCCUGGGGAGUACGGCCGCAAGGCUAAAACUCAAAGGAAUUGACGGGGCCCCGCACAAGCGGCGGAGCAUGCGGAUUAAUUCGAUGCAACGCGUAGAACCUUACCUGGGUUUGACAUGGAUCGGGAGUGCUCAGAGAUGGGUGUGCCUCUUUUGGGGUCGGUUCACAGGUGGUGCAUGGCUGUCGUCAGCUCGUGUCGUGAGAUGUUGGGUUAAGUCCCGCAACGAGCGCAACCCUUGUUCACUGUUGCCAGCACGUUAUGGUGGGGACUCAGUGGAGACCGCCGGGGUCAACUCGGAGGAAGGUGGGGAUGACGUCAAGUCAUCAUGCCCCUUAUGUCCAGGGCUUCACGCAUGCUACAAUGGCUGGUACAGAGAGUGGCGAGCCUGUGAGGGUGAGCGAAUCUCGGAAAGCCGGUCUCAGUUCGGAUUGGGGUCUGCAACUCGACCUCAUGAAGUCGGAGUCGCUAGUAAUCGCAGAUCAGCAACGCUGCGGUGAAUACGUUCCCGGGGC
Molecule: ribosomal RNA, 1344 nt
Filed under: uncultured bacterium
Lineage: Bacteria
Description: partial 16S ribosomal RNA
Rfam family: Bacterial small subunit ribosomal RNA
Source: RNAcentral